RNAcentral lists this ribosomal RNA (256 nucleotides) under uncultured archaeon. RNAcentral's name for it is "partial 16S ribosomal RNA". It matches the Rfam family "Bacterial small subunit ribosomal RNA", at positions 521 to 776 of the family's 1533-position model. The record is from RNAcentral.
UAAUACGGAGGGUGCAAGCGUUAUCCGGAUUUAUUGGGUUUAAAGGGUCCGUAGGCGGACUGAUAAGUCAGUGGUGAAAUCCGACAGCUUAACUGUCGAACUGCCAUUGAUACUGUUAGUCUUGAGUAAGGUUGAAGUGGCUGGAAUAAGUAGUGUAGCGGUGAAAUGCAUAGAUAUUACUUAGAACACCAAUUGCGAAGGCAGGUCACUAAGUCUUAACUGACGCUGAUGGACGAAAGCGUGGGGAGCGAACAGG